GGUGUUGCAAUGAAUUAUGAAGUGACCUCUGGGACAGUGGUGAGGAUGCAGCAUGUGGUGCUAGAUUCACUGUGAGGAAAUGGAGCCAGGCUCAGUGUGCCUGGGCUGGAUGCGAACUGUGGUCUGCAUUGCAUCUGCAUGGUCUUGGGCCAGUGUAUGCAGAGGCAUGUGAAUCUCAGUCUUCCUUGCUGCUGGUAUUCCUAGAUGCACAGCGCAAACCCACAUGUGAAGUGUGGUAAAAAUACUGACAACGAAACUGGAAACGUGAGUGAACACUGCUUGGUCUGUAGGA
This 292-nucleotide long non-coding RNA is filed under the name Gallus gallus (chicken). Its description in RNAcentral is "long non-coding RNA NONGGAT009211". The record is from RNAcentral. Lineage: Eukaryota; Metazoa; Chordata; Aves; Galliformes; Phasianidae.